Molecule: ribosomal RNA, 497 nt
Filed under: uncultured bacterium
Lineage: Bacteria
Description: partial 16S ribosomal RNA
Rfam family: Bacterial small subunit ribosomal RNA
Source: RNAcentral
GAUGAACGCUGGCGGCGUGCCUAAUACAUGCAAGUCGAGCGAACGGACGAGAAGCUUGCUUCUCUGAUGUUAGCGGCGGACGGGUGAGUAACACGUGGAUAACCUACCUAUAAGACUGGGAUAACUUCGGGAAACCGUAGCUAAUACCGGAUAAUAUUUUGAACCGCAUGGUUCAAUAGUGAAAGACGGUCUUGCUGUCACUUAUAGAUGGAUCCGCGCUGCAUUAGCUAGUUGGUAAGGUAACGGCUUACCAAGGCAACGAUGCAUAGCCGACCUGAGAGGGUGAUCGGCCACACUGGAAAUGAGACACGGUCCAGACUCCUACGGGAGGCAGCAGUAGGGAAUCUUCCGCCAUGGGCGAAAGCCUGACGGAGCAACGCCGCGUGAGUGAUGAAGGUCUUCGGAUCGUAAAACUCUGUUAUUAGGGAAGAACAUAUGUGUAAGUAACCGUGCACAUCUUGACGGUAACUAAUCAGAAAGCCACGGCUAACUACGUG